GUGGGGAAUCUUCCGCAAUGGACGAAAGUCUGACGGAGCAACGCCGCGUGAGUGAAGAAGGUUUUCGGGUCGUAAAGCUCUGUCAUCAGGGACGAACGGCCGGUGGAGUGGAAAGCCACCGGAUUGACGGUACCUGAGAAGGAAGCCACGGCUAACUACGUGCCAGCAGCCGCGGUAAUACGUAGGUGGCAAGCGUUGUCCGGAAUUAUUGGGCGUAAAGCGCGCGCAGGUGGGAUCUUAAGUCCAUUUUUAAAGUUCGGAGCUCAACUCCGUGAUGGGAUGGAAACUGGGAUUCUUGAGUACCGGAGAGGAAAGCGGAAUUCCCCGUGUAGCGGUGAAAUGCGUAGAUAUGGGGAGGAACACCAGUGGCGAAGGCGGCUUUCUGGACGGUGUCUGACACUGAGGCGCGAAAGCCAGGGGAGCGAACGGGAUUAGAAACCCCAGUAGUCC
This 450-nucleotide ribosomal RNA is filed under the name uncultured bacterium. RNAcentral describes it as "partial 16S ribosomal RNA". It matches the Rfam family "Bacterial small subunit ribosomal RNA", at positions 354 to 796 of the family's 1533-position model. The record is from RNAcentral.